CAAAAGCUUGGUCCUGGCUUUACUAUCAGCUUAGGCUAAACUUACACAUGCAAGUAUCCGCAUCCCCGUGAGAAUGCCCUUAAGCUCCCACCGCUAACAGGAGUCAAGGAGCCGGUAUCAGGCACAACCCUGAGUUAGCCCACGACACCUUGCUCAGCCACACCCCCAAGGGAACUCAGCAGUGAUAAACAUUAAGCCAUGAGUGAAAACUUGACUUAGUCAAAGCCUAAUUUAGAGCCGGUAAAACUCGUGCCAGCCACCGCGGUUAUACGAGAGGCUCAAGUUGAUAUACACCGGCGUAAAGGGUGGUUAGGAAAAAGAAUAACUAAAGCCGAACAUCUCCGAAGCCGUCAUACGCACCCGAAGACAUGAAGCACUUCCACGAAAGUGGCUUUAAACCUCCGAACCCACGAAAGCUAGGGCACAAACUGGGAUUAGAUACCCCACUAUGCCUAGACAUAAACAAAGGUAGCACUUCUUACACCUGCUACUCGCCAGGGAACUACAAGCAUAAGCUUAAAACCCAAAGGACUUGGCGGUGCUUUAGAUCCACCUAGAGGAGCCUGUUCUAGAACCGAUAACCCCCGUUCAACCUCACCCCUUCUUGUUUUUCCCGCCUAUAUACCGCCGUCGUCAGCUUACCCCAUGAAGGGUUUAUAGUAAGCACAACUGGUACAACCUAGCACGUCAGGUCGAGGUGUAGCGCAUGAAGAGGGAAGAAAUGGGCUACAUUCACUGCCUCAGUGAAUACGGACGACGAGUUGCAAUACUCACCCAAAGGAGGAUUUAGCAGUAAGGAGGAAAACAGAGCGUUCCCCUGAAACCGGCCCUGAAGCGCGCACACACCGCCCGUCACUCUCCCCGAUCCGCUAUAUAAAGUAAAUAACACACUAAAGCUACUAAAGGGGAGGCUAGUCGGGAGGUGAGAAGUGUACCGGAAGGUGCACUUGGAGGUG
Molecule: non-coding RNA, 956 nt
Filed under: Sineleotris saccharae
Lineage: Eukaryota; Metazoa; Chordata; Actinopteri; Gobiiformes; Odontobutidae
Description: 12S ribosomal RNA
Rfam family: Bacterial small subunit ribosomal RNA
Source: RNAcentral